This is a long non-coding RNA of Felis catus (domestic cat), 11190 nucleotides long. RefSeq lists it as uncharacterized. The record is from RefSeq and is a predicted model, not a curated record. The transcript is spliced from 5 exons. Lineage: Eukaryota; Metazoa; Chordata; Mammalia; Carnivora; Felidae.
GGGAUCGAGCCCCACGUCGGGCUCUGUGCGGAGCCGGCUUGGGAUUCUCUGUAUCACUCUCUCUCUGCCCCCUCCCUGCUCAUGCUUGCUCUCUCAAAAAUAAAUAAACAUUUCUUUUUAAAAGCGAGGGAUGAUGUAAAAAAUGGCCACCUGGAAAAUGUUUACGCCUGUUUGUAUGUUUUCAUAUGAGCACCCAAAGGUGCUACUUAAAAUAAACAAAGCACGUAAGCAGAUUGUCUCUGGGUCAGGGAUGAGUCCAGCCCUCCCCUAUUUCCAUCUGCUUUGACCUUUCCAAGCACUGGCUCCUUUAUCUGCCUUUGUGUGUACGCCCAGGCACACAGACCCCCCCCCCCAGGCCCAAACCCAUGUGGCCUGGAGACCCCGCCCUGGCCUGUCCAUUCUAACUCUGGCCUGGCGUCUCCUUGGCCCCCUGCCUCCAGUAAUUGUGACUCACCUCCCCGCGCUGCCUACGCUCCCUCCCACGACUGAACCCGCUCCAUCGUGGCCCCCGGUUUCCGAGGGAGGGAGCUCAGACAGCUCCUGAGUGGUGGGAGACGUCGGGCCUAACUAUAUUGAUGGCAUAACUAUAAAAGGCCACUGUAGCAAAUUUCUCUGAAAGUCUCUUUUUCCUGAGGAAUUGCUCUGACCUACUUACCAGAUGAGAGCCCGCAAUCUGUUCCUCGGUUGUGUGGAAACUCUCAGCUCUGCUUUGUACCCAUUUACAGCAAUGAUCCCUGGCCUGUUUUCUGCUUCUUGUCUGCACAGCCGCCCAGCCUUUACAUAACCCUGCUGGUAACGUGGACAAGGCACCAGCCCGGCAGUCAGGCAGAUGUGGUUUGUGAAUCCCCGGCCUACCAUGAGUCGAAUGAACGUGGGCAUGCAAUUUAACUUCUCCAAACGUCAAUUUCUCCCCGUGAAAGCAGAGACAUAAUACCUAGUCUCCAAGUAGGUUUUAUCUUUGUUGAGAUUCAGUGAGCUAACGUCUGCGCAGAAGGCUAGCCCUGCUCCAAGGAGGUGGAUUCCCUUUCCUUUUUCUUUUCCAGAUGAGCCCCCUCCUGGCCGUGUUUUGCGUAGGGACGCAUUUGCAGAACAAUCCUGAGCGAUACAUAGUGAAACAAACAAACAAACAAGUAAACAAACAAGCAAGCAAAUUAAAACUGGGACUUUGUGGCGUCUGACCCGCGGCCGCUAGGAUACGUGAACCGUAAGCCACAGAACAUUCAGGACCCAGCACCCCGCAGGAUGGGGGAUGUGCAUCAGCCACACGUGCAGAUUGGUUCUCUAUCUCAGUUCCCCAAGCGGCUCUGGGGAUCCCCAAGACCCGCUUCCGCGUUAAGACCCGCAGCCGAGGCGGCAAGGCGUUGAGAAUGGUCUCCGAGACGAUAAACAAGCGUGAGAGGAGGAAGUGGGUGUCACCGCACAGCCCGUGCCUGGCCCGGGAACGCAGGCCGAGCUGUUUACACCUCGGUGCCGGCAAAAAAGUUUGCGCUGCAAAGCUCAUUUCUUGCCGUCUGACCCCUCCUCUGGGGUGGGCCUUCCUUUAAACAAAGGACAGCUUCCGCAGCACUCAGAAACAAAUGUUUGCUUCCCCGGAGGGAGAAGGAGGCGGGCGCCCUGCGCGAUGCCAGAAAUAAGCCUUCCUCCUGUCACUUGGGAGCCUGUGCCGUCUUGUCCGCAGGAGACACCGCAGCAAGGGGACAGGCACCUGGAGAGAAUCAGAUUCCACAGAUAAUUACAGGAAGGGCAACCACAGGUCCCAGUGAGGCCGGCUGUCUGCGGGCGGUUUUCAUCGGGCUCUUUUUCACUCUAUUGACUCAUCUGCACAGAAUCAGUUUCCCCGAGGUGCACAUUGGGCGCCUUGCACACAGAAAUCGAUCGCCCCACGGUUCCGGAGGCCAGAAGCCCAAGAUCGAGGCCUUGGCAGGGCUGGCUUCUUCCGAGGCCACCAGCGAGAAUUUAUUCCAUGCCUGUCUCCUGGCUUCUGGCGUUUGCUGGCAAGAUUUGACAUUCCAGAAGCAUCGUCCCGGUCCCUGUCUAAGUGGCCACGUGGUAGGCUCCCUGUCAGCAUGUCUGUGUCCAAAUCUGCCCUUUUUAUGAGGACGCCAGUCAUCCUGAAUCACUCCGGGAUGGCCUCGCCGUAACCAAUGGCACCUGUAAUGACCCUAUUUCCAAUAUGGCGACCUUCUGAGGCGCUGGGAGUUAGGUCUUGAACGUGUACGUUUGUGGGGGAUACAAUUCAACUCCUAACACCUACUGCGUGGACACCUUUGCUAGAAGCUGAGGGAGAGAAAGAGGUGGUGACACACAGCCUGUGCUUGGCUCACCCACAAGCCAGCCUGGAACACGGCCAGCAGGGCAUUCUGCAGCCCAGGAUACGGUUGAUGAGCGGGACAGUGGAGAUACGAGGCAAGUUCCAUGGGAGCAGGAAGGAGGGCACCUUACAGAAAUGGCAUUUGAGGACUGGGUUGAGAGGUACAAUCUUUAAGUUGCUCUUUAGUGUGACGCUGAGGGGGGCUGUAGUAUCUGAGACUUGGUUUACCAGGACACAAGUUCAAAGUCCUCCCUGGUGUAUGUCUGGUCUCUCUCUGGUGCAGAACUGCAUGGCCGUUGUUAAAGCCAAUAUGCUGUGGAAUAUACACAGGCCGGUCUGGAGUAUGAAGUGGAAAUACUUGAAGUUUCAAAUAAUCAGUCACGAGAGAGAGCGCGAGAGAACGCGUGCGUAUGAGCCGAGGAGCAGAGAGAGGAGAGAGAGAAUCACCGACUGUGAGACCAUGAUGUAAGCCGAAACCAAGAGUCGGACGCCUAACCGACUGAGCCGGCCCAGUGCCCCACGUCUCCAUUCUAUAUGGGGCUCGAACGCCCUGCAGAAGGGUUCGGUCCUAAGAAACAAAACGGCCCAAUGAUAUCAUUGUUGAACGGUGAACAUAUUUGUGUGGAAAAUUUUGCUGCCACUGGAAAAGUUUAUUUUCAUCUUACACCAGUUUAGAAGUUGUCGGGAGAUAGUAAUAAACCAGAUUCCAUCUUCAAAGAAUCUUUUCCCCUGUUUGAUGACUCCCAAAGUUCUUUCAAAGUAACUUUUUGGGGGUUUUGGGUGGAGAAUGGUGGUCAGAAACUGGAAGUUUUCACUGAUAGCCGGUUGUAGUUUUAUUCCUCAAAAGAGCACUUCAGUCUCAUCUUUAUCCUCGUUGCUUUGUCGCCAAUAGAGAUUCAAUUCAGUUUCCGUAUUACUCUCAAAGAUAUUCCAUUUAUAUCCUGCUUGCGAGAAAAUGUUUUCACUGGGGUAAGAGUCUUCCCAUAGAAAUUGUCCUGCUCCAAUGUCUUCUAAAGGAAUGUAGCUUUGUUCUAUUUGAAAAUUAAUGCAGCAUGGAAUUCUCUGAGUACCUCUUAGGAAAAUGCAGGAUGUCAAUCGCAGAUUAUUUAAGUAUUUCCCAAAAAGGUUUUACCAACAAAAGUAUCUAUAGGUCAGUAAUCAAGACUAGAGCCCUUACUGACAGAGUAUUAGUUAUUGAUGCUAUCCUUAUGCAUUCAUGCAAAAACCAUUCUUUGAGCACAGGUUAUCUGCAGGGUGUUUCGCUAGGCAUGAAGGAUAAGUGACAGAUGUUUAUUAUCCCUGUCCUUGGGAUGCUUAUGGUCUAAUGGGAGCUGCGAUAAACAAAUGAAUAAACGAUUGCAAAGGGUGAUUUGUGCAUGAAGGAAAAUAAGGGCUACGGCAGAGAAUAGGGUGACCAGCGAAGGUCUUUCUGAGGCGGUGACAUUUUGACUGAGUCACAACUCAAAGACAACACCGGGCAAUAGAGGAAAGUGAUCUAGGCAGAGGGAAAAGUGGGUGCCAAGGCCCUGGGGCAGAAAAGAGUUUUGUGUAUUCCAAGAACUUAGGGAUGGCCUUUGUGCCUGGGACCAAGUGAGAGACAGGAGACGAACACGGAUGAGGUCAUAAAGUCAAGAGGGGCUAGAAGAGGCAAUACGUGGGGGACUGGGAGAAGACAUUGGCCUUUAUCUAUCGGGCAAUGAAACAUCAUUGAAAGAUUUUAAGUAGCGAAGCAGCGUAAAUAAUUUGCCUUUCAAAGAACACUCUGUGGAAAAUUUCUGUUGUGAGAAGAAGAGAGAAAGCAAGAGAGAAAGUAGUGGGACCAGUUAGGAGACCGCUUGGUCAACCACAGGAAACAUGACGGUAGCUUUGACCCAGAUGGUUGUGGUGGAGGCCGCAGGGAGACAGGCUCAUACCAGAUGUAUCUGAAGGAAAGCAAAUAGAACUUGCUUUUGGGUUAGAGGAGAACAGAAAUGCAAGGGGCCAAGGAUGGUCCCCAGUAACCCGGGGACAUUGCUAAUCAGGUGCGUGACGGCGGAGGCGUAGGAGAGGGCCAGGAGAGACUGACAGACGGGCUGGUGCACUAGGACAAACAAGGACAGUGGGGUGUCUUCCAUGACGAGGCAACGGAGCUUCAAGAUGGAAAAGGUGGUCAAGUGUGUCUGACAAAGCGACGUAAAGACCCAAGAGCCUAUUAGACUGGCCAAUAUGGAGGUUGUCGGUAACCUGGCCACACGGUUUCAGAGCAAAGGUGGGUAUGGGGAGAGGCUGGUGAGGAAGCAGGCAGAGCGUGUGUAAGCGGCUCUUUUGAAAGCUUGUCCUUUUUGCCAGGCAGGGGAGCCCAGGACGGAGCUCGGGACCACUGGGCAAGAGGACAGUCAUUUCUCUCAGUUAACCACCCUCAACCCUUUAGCCCAGACACCUUUCGCAGAGAGUAAGAGACUCCUUCCCCACCUCUUUACCUUCAUCCCCAUCAUCCUCAUGAUUACCCUGGCGAGGGCAGGCGUGACAAGGAACCACUUGCUUUUGACCUCUUAGGUGGGCGUCUGCCCAGGUUUUGGCUCCGGGACCCUUCUCCCCUCCUGUCAAUGAGCCCCCGGCCUCCCUCCACACCAUUCUCACGCCGGCCAGCUCAAGGUGAGCUUCUGACUCACACACGCUUUCCUCUUACAUUUUCUCGGUUUCUCACUUAGCCAACGAUGAGGUAGGACAUGCAAAAGUCUAAGAAACGUCGUUGGAGGGCAGAAAAUUAAGGAGGACUUGUAAGGACGCAGUUGUUCUCACGUUUUUGUUUUUCAAAUUGCAUUUUGUUAAACUGACCACGUUAGGGGAAAUUGCCAAUGGAGGAAUAUUGAUCUUUCAAAGCGACGCACGCUCUAGGAGGAUUUGACAUGGCUUUUACUGAAAUUGCAGAAUGGCUUUACUCUGUACGUGCCCUCUGUGAUGGCCUGCGGGGAAGGAUGUGUGAUAUGUGUAAGAAAAGGAGUAGAAGGAAUUUCAUUAAGGGUAGGAUGCUAGAACGUGAAGGUUCCAGCUCUUACGUAAUUGAGGAAGGGUAGACGUUGCAUUUCAGGGAAUAAAGGAAAUCAGAUGCCACAAAUUUAACUGAUUCUCAUCACCAGCCAGUAAUAAACUCUCUUUUGCAGAUCAGACAUCUUUCCUCUAUUUGCAGCAAAGCUUCAAAGCUGCAGGCUGGGCAUCAGGCCAUCAGAGUCACUCAGACCACAAUGAUGACAUUUCCCGGAGUCCAGCAUCCAGCCGUCAUCCCUCUCUCCCCUCAUCGUCCUCUGUCCUGUCACCAAAACAGAAAAAGAUGGGAAAGGGGAAUAUUGUUUCCUUCCUGCCGCAAAGCUCCCUGGGCCUCCUAAGAAUACAAUAUAACCCCCAACGUUCCCCAAAUCUCCACAUCCUAACAUUUCCAGGAAGUUAUAAGCCAUGGGAGUCCGGGCAGACCCAGAAGAACAUGUGUCUUUUUCUCUAAAAGCCCUUGUGGAAAGUCCCCACUAUUCUGUGGGGGAGAAACAGUGUCUGCUUUGUUCAUUCUGUUUCUAACGCCUAGUACAGUGCCCGGUCCAGGACCAACAAUAGUGUUUCUUUAAUGAAUAAACAGGCGAAUGAGUAAAGCUUUCCAAGUGGAUAUAUUCAAAUGCUAAACACUUGGGCUCUAUGUCUAUGUGCUUCCAUUUACCCCUAAAGAAGUUUCUCCUAUUUGUUUUUGUAUCUUUAUUCCCCGGGAACAAGAAAAUCAAAACAGCGAAAUGACUUUUUUGCUGGGUCACAAAGCAUGAAAAGCAUCAGAGCCUGGCAAGUCCGUGAGGCUGAUGACAGCUUUGAUGUGUUGACUUCUCUGCCAGGGUCCCGUUCACGAUCUCUGUGUCCCUCCUCACCUCUCCAUUUCUCUUGCUCCCCCUCCCACUCUCCCUGAUUUCCCCGGGCUCAGCUGUGAAUUCAGCUGCCUGCCAUAGAGUUCACGAAGACUGGACUCACCUAGGGUUAUUUGAAUUUUGGUAGAAGAUUCUUGAAUUCAAAGGAAUAACAUUGAGCGUUAAAAUUUCCAAGGGGUUUAAUUUUCCCAUCUCAAAUUAUUCCAAAUACGCAGUUGUAUAUUCUGGCCAUUCAUAAGGCCAGGUCUGCUCAUUGUUCACUCUGCUGGACCAAACUGGAUUAGGACCCAGACUAGGGUUGCAAGAUCAUCUUGAAAGAGUAACCACGAUCCCUGUUGUCCAUCCGUUCAUCCAUCUACUUCAUUCAUUCGUUUGUUCACUGGAGACCAAUGGUGAGAAAGGCAAGGACGGAUCAGUUCUCUAGCAACUUACAGACCCAGGGAGAGAGAUAGUGAUCUCCUAAUCCUGCAACCGAAAGAAACACCUUGGAUAAAAGGAGUCAAGCUCAGGGAGUUUACAGAGGAGCCACAGAGGCUGGGCGGGUCUAGAGGUGCUUCCCAGAGGAAGGAGGAGUGGGAGUCAAGGGUGGAUAGACAGAAGACCCAAUGGGAGAGGGAGCUCCCUGAAGGUAUAGAAAGCAGGCUGGAGUGGCUGGUGUUCAAACCUCCAGGUGGACAAUCGGCUGGGGAGGAAGGCAAAAGCCAGAGCAUUUAGUCUCUUUGGGACCAGAUUUAAGGUCGUAUUCUUUAUCUUAAGGUGGAUAGGGAGCUCUUGAAUAGUUUUAAGUGGGAGAGGAGCCUGGGAGGAGCCUGGGCAUUAUCCUGCCUUGAGCUACUCGCAAAUAUAUUUGUGUAUCGCUGUACUUUUCUUCUUGUGCAUGUCUAACUCCGCACAUCUCUUCCUGGGGAGAAUUAAGACUGGUGCUUUCCUGGGUAGCAGAAACAAAGACUGGGUCAAGGUUCAACCAGUGACUUUCACUCCAGAGAUAACAGUUGUAAAAGCCCAAGCUUUGUUUUGUCAGAGCAGAGCUCUCAGUGAAUCAAAAGGCAAUGGCCAGAAGAGAUCGAGGGGAUAAAGUUCCCCUAAAAUGAGUAGAUAAUAAACUGGCCCCUGGGUGGGGAGGAGGGAAGUGAUGAGAAGCAGGAGGGCUGAGGCCAGAGAGACUUCUUGGCCGGUGGAAACCACGGAGAGGGAAGCGUCCUGGGCUUGGAGACACUGCCCCACCUCUGCCCCAGCAGGCAUCAGAGAGCCAGCUGGGAACCUCGCAGUCCCUGCAGACUGCACCUGUUGGGGAACGUGCUGUGUGAAGCGUGAAGGUGGCCGGGGCUGAGGAGCCGGUCUUUCUCACUGCACUUCGCCCAUCGUUUACUCAGCAGGAGUGAGAAUCACCUUUCAACACACACAAACUAUCCCCCCACCCUCCCUCCUCAAAGGCUCAGGACCCGCUUUCUCCCCUGAGAGCUAACAGUGAAAUAGUUAACCUGGAUACAGUCAAAGGCGGUACAGUGACGCUGUGGAUGGGCAGGCCCCCUCGUUAUCUGUACCGAGGUGAGAAUAAUAGAGUCACUCGGGUCAAGAUCGCGGUGAAACCCAGCCCAGCUGUAAAAUGAGGUUGGCCAUUUUCAAAGGUUAAUCUGGCUGCGGGGUGGAGAGCUGAAUGCCAAGGGGCCAGAGCUGAGGUUUCGUGACCAGACAGGAGCUUAUGUCAGUGGUCCGGGCAAAAAGUCGCCAUGGCUUGGGCUAACAUGGUGGCCCUGGGGAUGGAGAGGAGUGACUGGAUUCGAGAGAUGUAACUGAGGUAAACAGACAGGACUUGAAGGAGCAGGUAAGGCAGUAUAAGAGAGCUUCGUUAAUUGGGUUUCUAUAAUAGAUCAGCAAAUAGCUUCGAUGGUUUCCACCAUAAUGUUGAAAGCAAACAACCCCAAGUUCUCAGUGGCUUACGGUCAUCUUUUUGUCUUUCUUGUUAUAUAGGUCUGCAGAUUGGUUGGACAUUUCUGUGUCAGGUCAUAGUCGGUCCAUGUGUCUCUUACUCUAGGACCUAUGGUUACACGGGGGUGAGCUCUUCCAUGGCGGGUGGCUGGAGGCCAAGGGCCCAAGCCAAAACACACAAGUAUGUUGCAGUCCUCUAGCUGGACAGGGCCUAGGAAAUGUCUACUCAUAUACCAUCGGUUGAAGGAUACUAGGAGACAAAGCCCGGAGACAAAGCCCAGAGACAGCGGGGCAGCGAACUAAACUGCCCCGGAGAAGCCAUGGCAAGACUGAAUUGUAAACAAAUAAUGCUCUCUGUCUUAAGAAUCAAGGGUGGCCCCUAGGUUUCUGGCUUACCCAGCUGGAUAUAUUGGGGUGCCCUUCCCUGAGAAAGGAAACCUAAGAAAUGAAUCAGGCUUGGGAGACCCCCUGGGCUCAGUCUUGGAUAUUUGGUUUGGGAUGUCUUUGGAUAGCAAAGUGGCAGGAGCUACGGAGAAGUGUGGCCUGGAGGUAUGUACUUGGGAGAUUAUGGCAAAGACUGCCAGUUGUACCCAAAUAUCCAUCCACUUACCCCUUCUUCUUCAGUCGAACCUUGAGUUUUUCUUUUCUUUUCCAACCUCUCUUGAAUGGAGUAGUUGCCUGACUACAUUUUAACCAAUGAAAUACAGGAAGGGUCUAUUAUGACUUCUAAAAACUAUCCUAAAAGGAAAGAGUAUGUCCUUCCUCCUGUUUUAUCGGUCCCUGCUGGCAGAAAUGUGGUUGUGAUGGUUUAAGCCCAAGGGGUCAACCUGGGCCGUGACGUGAAAGUCCGAUGUUGAGAACGGCAGAGCGACGGCAGAGAAAGAAGGCUAGUUCCCUGAAAAGAAAAAUCACUUUUAUAGUAUUUAAGUUACUGCCACUUGUAGUCAAACCCAGUCCUAACUGUCACAAGAGUCACGGGAGCGAGGAAGUGCGAGACACCGCUGAAUUUAACACCAGGUUUUCAAGAAGAGAAUGUGGAACGGGAGGUGAGGAGGGCCCAGGACUGAGCUUCCGGGAGCUCUAAGGUGUAAGAGCCAAGUAGAGGAGGGGACCACCCACAAACAGAGACAGACGCAGCUGAGGGGUAGAAGGAAAGUGAAACCUGGUUGUUCUGGACAGGAAGGGAGGAGAGCACGUCAAGGAAGAGGAAGUGGCCCAAAGUGGGAGACCAUCCAACAAGUGAACAGCAGAGGAGAUGAACUAGGUUCAGAAGAUGACAAGGACGCGGGGGAACACGGCCUUUGAUUCGCAAGAGUAUCCUCUGAAAGACUUAGGAACAAAAUAAGGCUGUAUUGGGGCUAUUAAAACAUGAUUCUUUAAAAAAAAAAAAAAAUUACCCAUAAUUCCAAAUAUUUCUAAACCACCAACGGCCCAGAGUACCGUCCAGGAUGCUUUAAGAGGAAAACGACUCCGUUCUAGACUUCUAUUAGAAGAACACUCCCUCUGGAGCCCAGACUCCAUGCUGUGAGGGCCCCAAGCUACACAGAGGGGCCACAGCCAACAGCCCACAUAAGCUGUCAGCGCCAUCUUGAAUGUCCGGGUCCAGCUGUGGCCAACAUCUGACCAAGACCACGUAAGGGACUCCAGGUGAGAACUAGUCACCGAACCCAGUCAACCCUCAGAGCCACGAGAGGCUGGUCCCUUCACGCGGUUGUAAAAUGGCUGCCACUUCCUCGCGCCUCCAGGCAUCACAUCCUGGCACCCACGUCCCCAGCGGAGGGAGAGGACUGCUUCUCUGCAUCCUGUUUAAGAGCCAAGAGAACUUUUCCAGAGGUCCUCCAGCAGACUUCCACGCCCCAUGGGCUACAAGUGCAUCUCACAUCCAUUCGUAAACCAUGAGUUACCAUUAUCUUGACCUCAGACUACUCCAGCUUCCCCCCUUCGGAAGCUUUGCCCAAUACGGGAACAAGAUGGGGUUCCGUUAGCAAGGAGUCUAGCUACUGGGUGGGCGAUAACCCAGAAAACCAAGCAGAAGCCCAGAGGCAUUGGCGAUAGGGUGGGCAGAAGAUUCGAGGGCCAGAUCCUGAUGCCCAGCUUGGUUGGUUAGGGGAACAACAAGGAAACAAAGCACGCGUCGUCCAGUGGCUUCCGGAAGUUCCUAGUCCACAGCGUCAAGGAGCUUGAAGUGCUGCUGACGCCCGACAGAUCUUACUGUGCAGAGAUUUCUCACGAUGUCUCCUCCAAGAACCACAAAGCCCGUCUACAGAUUGCAGGUGGCAAGAGGUGUGAGGCUCUGCGAACUCCAGGCGGCCAGGCCCAGCUGAGGCCACGUAAACAAAAAGCCCCAGCCUUUCGGUGUGUACUGCUUGAGGUCACUUUCUCCAUGGAGGUUUUCCUGAGCCCUCCCUCAGGAGACACUGCCGGCUCCCUCCUUCGGUCCUCAACCCACACACCAUGCCUUCGGCCCCCUACUUGUCUAUGCCCCCCCUGAACUGGGACUUCCUUACUUUGACAUCAAAGUGGCUGCUGCCAUUCCUGGCCCACAGAAGGCCAUCACCCAUGUGUGAUGGCGGGCGGAGGAGGGUGCAGAGGAAGUCAGCCCCCCCAGUUCCCUGGGUCAUUAACGUUAACACUGUGGAAUUAUCUCUGCCUUGCUCUUCUUUUCGGAGCGGUGGCCUCAAGCUUGCAGACUUGUGCCCUUGAGCCAGGAUCCCGUCAAGCUGAGAAACCCAGUUUGCUUGUUCUCCUUUUAGUUGGGGCCGGAGAGGAACCCCGUGGGCAGUGUUGGGCCAUAGACUUUUGGCAAGUGGUGCCAUGGGCUUGACUCCUAACUUUUCCCACAUUCCUUCAAACGGACCCCCUGCCCUGCAGGAUGGCUUUUAGUGGAAUGUCACAUGUCCUCGGCACUCGUCUGUGGUCCCUGGGAAGGCACCUACCACACUAUUUAGGCUGCGUGUCUUUGGUCUGUCUCUCCUGCACGAUGACCAGCUUUGUGAGGACAGGCGUGCUGUUAGGAUCAUUUCUGAACCCAGUGCCUGGAAAAUGCAGAAUAGAUGUUUAACGAAUGGA